GGUUUUCCUCUCUCUCAUGAAAUCCCUCUGGUUACAAUUCAGGAGAAUGGGAAGAGAGAGAGAGAGAGUGUGGCUGACGAAGACUGUUUAAACGGCUCUGCCGCCUCCACCGUGUUAUACCGUCUGACCAGUCAGUCGUCGGUCGUUUAAUAGGUGGAUGAUGGUGAUGUUCGCCGAUCUCUGUUGCGGCGGUCUCCAUUUCUUUCAAGCGGUUAAGGUUUCGACCCACUUCUGGUAACCCUAUUUCUAUUGCAUGUUUAGUAUCUUGUUAGAUCAGGAAUGCCGUGAACGAGGGAGAUGAACGGCGGUGGGUUCCAAUCGCAGGCCUGGUCAGGGCUUCCUUCUGGUUUUUGGGGGUUUUCACUAUGGCCACUAAAUAAUGGUUAGGGUUUCAAACAUGAGACGUUGGUUGUUGACGGCGUCCGUUCAUGGGCUCCUAUGGUGGUGGCAAUUGUUGACUGUGCCUAUUUUUCAGUUUCCUUUGUUAGGGGUCGAUGAUGGCUAGGGUUUCCUAUGCUGAGACUCUAACCGACUUUGAUGUGUGGUGGUUGCUUUUAUCUACGAUGUACCGAUCACGAUGGGUUUCUUCAUCUUAGAUGUUCUUGGUUUGAAUAAUGAAACCCUAAGUCGCUUAUGUAUUAUUUUUGCUGGUUAGGGUUUCUGCCGAUCAUGUAUAUUGUAUACAUAUAAAUCUGUGAUUUAUAGAGCUCCUUUGAUGAUGGAGCUACAUGCAUUUGGUCUAUGAUUCUGUUUUUGGCGUUUGGGUUACUGAGGCGAUGAUGAUUGUGUGGGUGUAAACCGAGUUGAGGAUUUCACCGUGGCGUGGCAUGUUUGAGAGAUGGUAGAUGUUCACCUGCAACCUCCAAUGCAGCCACGGUUAUCUCCUUCAUUUACACCCUCUGAGCCUCGGAAUCUAUGCAACUUGAUGGCAUGUAAUGCUCUUUUUAUAUCGGAACUAGUUGCGUUAUACAUAUGUAUUAAUAGCCACACUUUUAUCUGCUGCUAAUUGGAUGCUUUUCACUAAUUCUAAGGAUGGGUUAUUAGCUCAGAUUUAGGAAAAUUUUCUACCCUGCAAGACACCGCAUCAGGCAAGUUCUUAAAAAAGUUUAUGUUCUCUUCAUUAAUCUUGGAUAUUCAGAUAAAAAAACAUGUUAGAACGCCUUAUUAAAUUAUGAUGUUAUUACAAUAUUCAGUGUGUAUCAUUUAAGAUUGUCACAAAUAGCACAUUUUGUAAAAAAAAAAUUUAAAAAAACUCUUUCUAUGCCCAACAUUAUAUACUAGGUUAAGGAUUAUUGUUUUAACCAUGCUCGCAUACAGAUUGUUGAAGCUGGGUUUGUGUUUUGUGUGGAAUGUGUUUUGUGUGUCCACACACAAAAAAAAAAAAGUUAGGGGUGCUCAUUAACGUGUUUAAAGAUUGCCCGACCACGCGUCUCAUUGUUUGAAGCAAACCAUAUAAAACCAUAGAAAGAGAGUGACCGGGUGGUGGUUGCAGCGGUGUCAUGGCGGUGGUGGUGGUUCCGGCGAGAUAUCACGGCAACGAUGGUGGUUAGCAACCCUAGCCGCCGCCUCUGGUGAGGUGGUCUUUUGAAGGUUAAGGGGUGAUUGAUUCAGGUUGUGGAGAUUGCGAUUGAGAAAGGGGAAGACGAGGACAGCAAAGCAACACCUUCCAGUGGUGCCGGCUACUCAACAGAGGACGAUUUCCCUUUACAUUCGAAUUUGGAUUAGCAAAAGAUAAAUUAAGGGUAAGGCAUGGUGGAAGAAAGAGGCUAGUUCCCAAGGGUAUUGUUUAUAGAAAACCUACAAACUAAGGUGUGACUUACUUUAAGUUCCAAUGUAGCAAGACGUCUAUUGUAGAGGAAAAAGCCAGAAGGAAGUUGGGUGGUCUUAAAGUCCUCAGUUCUUACUAGCUUAAUGAGGACUCGAUUUACAAGUACUUCGAGGUUAUUUUGGUUGGUCGUGCACAUGUGUACCGACCCAAAGAUCACACCCAGAAAAUGGGAUGGGAUGUCAUGUUUUUGUAUGUAUCAUUUUGUUAAUGUAGUUGAAUUUAUAUGUAUUUAACUGAAGACAUAACUUUCGUAUGAUUUUUAAUUUGUUAAAUACAAAAUAUAAUGUAUUU
Helianthus annuus (common sunflower) is the source of this 2119-nucleotide long non-coding RNA. RefSeq lists it as uncharacterized. The transcript has 5 exons. The record is from RefSeq and is a predicted model, not a curated record. NCBI's taxonomy places the organism in Eukaryota, Viridiplantae, Streptophyta, Magnoliopsida, Asterales, Asteraceae.